CUAACUUUAGAGGCCCGUCUAUCCGCAAUAGACUCCUUAACGCUCGCCCUCUACACAAAUAUUGCGUCUGACGCAACUAGUGCAGGUGGAAAAACAACAACUGCAAGUCGAUUUGUCACUCAACAACCAUCCCUACCCGCUGCAUCGAGAACUGCACAGUAAGCAAGUGGAUUUAGAGAGCACUUA
Long non-coding RNA from Nematostella vectensis (starlet sea anemone), 186 nucleotides. RefSeq lists it as uncharacterized. Lineage: Eukaryota; Metazoa; Cnidaria; Anthozoa; Actiniaria; Edwardsiidae. The record is from RefSeq and is a predicted model, not a curated record. The transcript is spliced from 2 exons.